This 69-nucleotide transfer RNA is filed under the name Marmota marmota marmota (Alpine marmot). It matches the Rfam family "tRNA". Rfam says of the family: Transfer RNA (tRNA) molecules are approximately 80 nucleotides in length. Their secondary structure includes four short double-helical elements and three loops (D, anti-codon, and T loops). Lineage: Eukaryota; Metazoa; Chordata; Mammalia; Rodentia; Sciuridae. RNAcentral also lists the same sequence under 1 other name. The record is from Rfam by way of RNAcentral.
GGGGUUGUGGCUCAAUGGCAGAGUGCCUGCCUAGCAUGCAGGAUGCACUGGGUUUGAUCCUCAGCUCCA